This 389-nucleotide ribosomal RNA is filed under the name uncultured bacterium. RNAcentral's name for it is "bacterial SSU rRNA". It matches the Rfam family "Bacterial small subunit ribosomal RNA", at positions 29 to 418 of the family's 1533-position model. The record is from RNAcentral.
AUUGAACGCUGGCGGCGUGCUUAACACAUGCAAGUCGAUCGGUAACAGGUGUAGCAAUACAUGCUGACGAGAGGCGGACGGGUGAGUAAUGCUUGGGAAUCUGCCUAUUAGUGGGGGACAACCCGGGGAGACUCGGGCUAAUACCGCAUACGCUCUACGGAGGAAAGCCGGGGACCGCAAGGCCUGGCGCUAAUAGAUGAGCCCAAGUCGGAUUAGCUAGUUGGAGGGUAACGGCCUACCAAGGCGACAAUCCGUAGCUGGUCUGAGAGGACGACCAGCCACACCGGAACUGAGACACGGUCCGGACUCCUACGGGAGGCAGCAGUGGGGAAUAUUGGACAAUGGGGGCAACCCUGAUCCAGCGACGCCGCGUGGGUGAAGAAGGCCUG